Molecule: long non-coding RNA, 10259 nt
Organism: Sapajus apella (tufted capuchin)
Lineage: Eukaryota; Metazoa; Chordata; Mammalia; Primates; Cebidae
Exons: 3
Source: RefSeq, a predicted model, not a curated record
CUCUGACAUGGAAAUAGUGAAUUGUACCAAAGAGGGAGAUCUCUAUCCAACUUGGUAACCAUGAAUUGUACCACAGAGGGAGAUCUGCUAUGCAAGAUGGAAACCAUGAAUUGUACCACAGAGGAAGAUCUUCUAUCCAACAUGGAAACAAUGAGUUGUAUACACAGAGGGAGAUCUUCUAUCCAAUCUGGAUGUUCAUUAUGGAAUAGCAUACAUUGUAUCUAGAACUAGUUAAGGUUUUGUGGUGUUAUUAUUGUUGUUGUUUUAGAGGUGAGGUCUUGCUAUGUUGCCCAGGCUGGUCUUGAACUCCUAGCCUCAAGUAAUCCUCCUGUCUUUGCUUCCCAAAGUGUUGGGAUUACACAUGUGAGCUGCUCUUAUUCUUUCUAAAGCUCUAGUUUGAGAACUAAAAAUCACUUUCAAGGGUAGACUGAAUUUUAUGUUUUCUCUGAAAAAUGAAUUGGCACAAAUUUCCAGUUAAAUUUGUGCAAUUUAAAAAAAAGUUAAUUUUAAAGUGGUAAUAAUCAUAUACUAGGAAUAUAAUCCCAAAUUACAUAACUGUUUCCUGAGCGUCUUCCCAUGUUGACUGGGAAAAUUUUGUAAAAGCAUUCUAAACAGCAACAGAUCCUCUUGUUAAGAAGGCUGCCAGUGCAAACACUCCUUAUGAAGGACUCACAUGCUCUGACUGUUCCAUCACCUCCAUAGCCAGGAGCCUUCUCUGGCUGCCACCGAACUAAGGAGGGGGCUCCGCCGCAGCCCAACCAUUGGCAUUGCUCAUGGCUCUGUCUUAAAAAUAUUUAUGAGCAAACAUAUCUACAUAUCGACGAUGCUAUCAAUGGUACACAUAUCUCUCUAGCAGGACUUUGCCACCUGUCACGAUGUGGUCACUGCUCUGAACAUCUGGAACAGGCUUAGUUCUCUUUCUAGCAGACAUGCAGUUUUGUUUUAAGAAAUUGUUUGUACUUCGAAAGUCUAUUUUCCAGGGAUGGUUAUGCUCAGCAUUGGUCAGUAACUAUGUUGAUAAAAGCAAGCCCUUUACUUUUGUGUAAUAUUUUUGUCCAACCAUAUAAAAAGACACAUCAGUUUGUGACAUCCUAAUUAGGAGCAAAAGCCAUUUUUGUUUGCAUUGUUCAUCUCUGCUCCCAUCUCACAGAGCUUUAGCAAAGCAUCCUGGUUUCCUUGCUCCACCUUAGAGUGCUUUGUUAAUAGUACCCAUUUCAGUGGGUUAGGGUGUUUCCUUAUUUUGCUUUCUGGAAGGUAUCUGCUUUGACCUACAUUAAUCUCAGAGCUUGGAGGUAAAAUCAUUCUCUGUGUAGUCUUUGUGAUUCGCUGGGAUCCUCACUUCACAAAAUGAGAUCAUGGAGAGGAGGGAACCCCCGGCAGGUGGCUUAGACUCUCUAUGCAUGCAACCCUGACAGAAACCCUUUUGUUAGCCACUCAGUAGACUCAACCGAACGUUUUCCAGACUGAGAAAACAUUUGUGAGCAGACCUAUCUACAUAUUGACAGCGCUGUCCUUUUCUUUCUGACUCUGACUCACGUGCAGAGCUCAUGGGAGUAGUCUGGGUUACUUAAGGUUAACCUUUACAUUCUCAUAACCUCCCACGUACUUUUUCAGAAUGCCACCCUGAGGAGUUUUGUUAUUAUUAAAAACUAGGGUCAUUGUCUGACCAGUUGGAGAGCAAACAGAUUGUCCCAGUUUUUCUGAAAAAAGGAAAUGAGUCACUUUACAUAUGAAUAUCUCAACUACCAAAGUAUUAAACAGCCCUUUGGUAAUUGUUUUGCUUCUUAAUUUUAAGAUAUGCAACCUCAGCCAAGUAGCACCAGCAAGAGCCGUCUGCUGCGCACCUCAGCUGUGCUUGGACCGCUUUGGCUAUGAGGGAAGGUCUGGCUUUGAUGGGGUGACCCUGCCCACCCAUUAGACUCUGUGUGCAGCUGAGGGGUUGGGGUGGCCACAGGAGUCCUGCUGUCUUGCAGCACUCUGAUGGCAAUCAAGACCAAACUUCCUCAGUGAUACUGGGAAGCUGUAUUUUUUCUUUAUCUCAGCCAAUGGCGAUUCCAUGCUUUCCAUUGCACAGCCCAAAAAUCUUGAGGUUAUCUUUGACUCCUUUCUUUCUGUCACAUGCAAUAUCUGAUCUAUUCAGAAAAUCCUAUGGCCCCAAUAAUCUUCGGGAUAUAUCUAGAGUCCUCUCAUGUCUCACUACUUCCACGGCUACCUAGCCUGAUCUGUUCCACCGACCACACGAGCCCGGCGUGCUCCUCUCAACCGGCCGACAGUUCUACCCUGCAGUCUGAUCCCAGCAGUGGCAGCAGCGAUCCACUCAUGACAUUAGUUGGAUUUCACUCCUCAGCUCAGAGCUCGGCAGUGCUGCCUGUCUCUCUCAAAGGGAAGGCCAAAGUCUCUUUCAAGGGCCUACAAGGCCCUGCGUGGUGUAGCCCUGCCUCUCUGCACCACGUCCUGCAAUUCUUCCCUGGGCUCACUGUGAUGGCAGAGGGUUUCCAUGCUCAUCCUGGAACGCACCAAGCCCUCUGUCGUCUCAGGCCAUCGCAUAGGAUCUUCCCUUUGCCUGGAACCGCCCCUUUGCGGGUAUCACUGCCUCACUCCUUUCAAUCUGUGCCCAAAUGCUCCCCUUCUGCACGAGCUUAGCUGGCCUGGCCUGUGUAAACCUCAGCCUGUAUCCCUGGCGCUCCUGGUCUCCCUUCUCCUGUUCUUUUAUCCAUAGCAUGUAUCAUCUUCUAACACAGCAAGUGAUCCUAAAAUUUAUGACAUUAUUGUUUAUUAUCUGGCCUUACUCUCAGUCUCUAGAACGUGAGUUCCACAAGGGCAGGGAUCAUUGUCAUUUUUGUUCCCUGAUGUCCUUGCCCAUGUGUGUGAUAAAUAUUUCCUGAAUAAAUAAACCACCACCAUCACCAACGGUUGUUUUCUCGGUUCCCUUCAAACGGGCCAUCUAGGAUGCACAUUCCUCCUAAGUAAAGUCUGUUUCUAUGCAGUCUGCUGGCAGCUGAAACCUAGUGACUCUGGCUUUGCACUCCCAUUUGUGGGAGAUGAUCCACAACACAGCCGGGGGUAUGGCUGGCGCUGGGGAAAUUCGUAAUCCCACGCCACUUGGAUACACAGACAUGAGGGUCGGCAGGUGGCUCAUUCAGCCCUUCCGUCCCUCAGCAAGCUCCCUCUGUUUCUGGGGCCUGGGUGCAUAUCAGGAGUCAAGGCCUUUGGAGCCAUGACAAAAUGAGUCUUUACAGUAUUUUCACAUUUUUGUGAGCACUUAAGAUUCUUUCCUCCAAACAAAUUUUGGAGGAGAUCACACAGAGAUCAGAGAGGGUGGUUUUUGUGUCGUAAGAAUGAAUGUAUUUAACUACUGUUUAUUGAGUAUCCGCUGUGGUCCAGGCACAAGUAAUGGAGAUAUGGUGGUAGAAGAUAAAAUCGCUAACCCAUGGAAUAUAGUCUAGUGUGUUAUUCAGAGUAAAGCAAGUAAAUGAACUAACAAAUAAUAGCAUUUCAGGAAAAAAUAGAAAGAUCCAGGUAGAAAGAUACCAAGGGGGUAUGGGCAACAGAAAGAAGCAGUGAAAAUAUCACAAUUUUCUCAUCAGUUUCAAAAUAGUUAAGUAUGGCUCAUUGCUGACUUUAAUAUUUGUCCUGAAAUGUCUAGUAAGCAGGUAGGGGUGUGUUUGUGCAUGUGCAUGUGUGUGUGUGUGUGUGUGUGUGUGUGUGUGUGUGUAAGCCCACGUUUGGAAGAUAAGCAUCUUGAUUGUCACUCAAAGUAUUUAUGUCACAGGAUAAGAUCAAUGGUCUCAUUCUUAAAGAUAACUGGGUCCUUUUCGCUACGUCAUAUUUCUUUCUCCAGAUUAACAAAGUGCUACACAUGUAGAAGAUGAUCACUUCAAAUUUUUGAAAGAAGGAAUAAGGGCAAGAACUCCUGAGUGAAGGUAGAUAAAGUAUAGUUUUGUAAAGUGGAUAAUACACUAAAUGAAUGUCUUUGAUCAUACUUCGUAGUUUUGAUCAGGGUUCUGUAAAGGACCAGCAGAAAGUUUUUAGUAAUUAUGGGCCAACAGUUUCCACUGUAAAUAGUCAGCUCUCCAUUUUAGAGCAAAAGCAACCACAGAAAUAUGUAUCCAAAAAAAAUUGGAACCAGAUAGUGGCUGCAUUUAAUAUAACUUUCUUAAUAAAACAGCCAGUAAGGAAGCAGUAGUUUGCUGACUAUUCUAGAGUACUGUAGGGAUUUAGGGUGACUAGAAUGUGUCUAACGAUAUGAAAUGGCAUAAGCCAUACCCUUAAAAAAUCAGAGACUCUAAGGAACAUGAAGGGGGGGCACCAGUGAGGUAUUCUCAUUAACAGAAUGCACCUGAAAAUGACCAUGAAGGGCACGCUCUGCUCUGUCUGAUUUCUAGUGGAGCUUUAUGUUUGCUUUUAUGUACACAAUAAAGUUCAGAGAAAGUUGGGAAGAUUAGAAUAAAGAGCAACUAAAUAAUUACAGCUCUUAAAACAGGAUUGCAAAAGAUAAAUUCAUAUGGUUUGCUUGGGUUGGCAAACUGCAGACAGCAGGCUCAUCCAGGCCAUAGCCUGUUUCUGCACAGGCCACGAACUCAGAAUGGUCUUACAAGCUCAAAGGGCUGUAAAUAGAAAAAGAAAGGCAAAGAGGAGGAGGAGGAAGAACAAGAACAGGAAGGAGGAUACAGCAGAGACUUUGUGUUUUGUGUAAAGCCUAAACGAUUCACUACUUGGCCUUAACAGAAAAAAUUUGCUGACCCUGGUCUAGAGGGUGGAAAGACCGGGCUGACAGGAGAAAUGUGGUCUGUGGAAUACCAAGACUUGCUAUGAAGUAAGCCACAAGGUUAUCCCCAGGUGGAGGUGGGCUGGGGCAGCUCAGGCCUGAGUAUGUAUGCAUAUGACAUGUAGUGCCUGCAUGCCUGGUCCCCACGUGGUGGGCUCCAUGAGGCCACACAGGGUGCCCUGCCCAAAGAGACAGUGCUUUCAUUCCUACUUUUGGUGGGCAGACAUCAUAUUUGUAAUGGGAAAUGGUGGCAGGACAAGGACCAGGUGAUCCACUUGCCAUCUCAGAAGAAUUCCGUGAAGGCAUCAGACCAGCUUAGCUUAUUGAUGAAGACAACUGGAAGAGAAAGAUUUAAUCAUGACAUAGGUAAAUAUGGAAGAUUCAGGAACUCUUUUAUCUUCUCUUUGCUUUUUCAAGAAUAGAAUGAGCUUUUACACCCUGACAGUGUACUGAGUCUGUGAGUGCAAAGUCCUCCCCAGAAAAAUGUGAUUUGCAUUUAUGCUUUCACCAUUUGGUGAGAGCAGAUUUCCCAUCAUCUGCCAUUACAAACAGUUCUCCGCAGCUCAUCACCAGGUCACAAACACAUCCGCAAAGACUGUCUGAAAGUUUGUGCCAUUUGCUAGUAGUAUUAACUUUCCAGGGGUCCACACUGACACCCUCGCGAGGAAGAGGGCUUCACCUACUUCUGCCCCAGAGGUGAAACCCGCGCAGGAGAAACGAGGUCUGUUUGGGCAUUUUUCUUGGAAAUGUGUUUCUGAUAUCUGAAAACACAGCCAAAUUGGUUCCAAGAAUGUAAACGAAUGUGCCUUAUGUGCUAUUAUAGGUACAUAUAUAAAACGGCAAUAUCAAAUUCUGUUUUCAAAAGGUAAUAACUUCAGUAGAAAAAUCAGUUUGUCUCUCAAGCAAUUCUAUGAAAAUAGUUGUAAAUCUCAGUGGAACUGUUGGCUGCUUAAAUAAUUAUUGUUUGCAGAGAAGAAUUUCUGGCACACCUUUACAACCAUUUAAGUACCAGCAGCAUUAAAUCUCAAUUCCAUAUAAAUUAAAUGGUGGUUUACAGUAUAUUCUGGUUUUAAAAUAAGGCAAAUAUAAUGUUAACUGUCUUUAAAGUCAGAAAAUGUGUAUUUUAUUUACAUUACCCAUAUUUUCAAACACUGUGAUAAUUUCAGAAUACACUCUGGAGAGGGAGGGCACCUGUGAAAAAUCUUUGUCCUUUCCACUCAGUUUUACUGUCAACCUGGCUCUUAAAAAAUAAAGUCUGUUAAAACAAAACAAAAAUGCAUCCAUGUUUGUUGUAACCUUCUAGAGAAUUCUAUACAUGAUGAGACCGUUGUGGUCAAGAAAUUCCUACAGUUUCUAAACGAGAUAUCAAAUUUACUCUAUUUUUUUUAAAUCACCCUGGAAUUGUUGAGUUACAGAAUUAGUUUCCCCUCUGGAAUAUUAAGAGAAUUGAUUUUAGUGGACAUCCCAUAUUUAUCGAUCAUUUGUGGCACUGCAGUGGCUGGGCAGCAGGAGGAACAUGGGAGUCCACGGCCCUGCACUCGGGGCCUCAGCAAGAAAAGAGUCAGAGGCCAUCAAGUGUCACUGGCUCAGAGAACCCAUGAGGGGCUCUGGGAUGCAGAAUAGGAGUUGGCGGCUGAGCUAGGCCUGCAGGAUGGGGUGAGCUUGAUGCAGGGGCAUUGGGGAAAGCCUGGCCUGGGGUGCUCCCGGGGUCCGGACUCACCACUCCCCAGCCUCCAGUGGACUCUGCUGCACAAAGCACCAGGCUGCCUUUUUUCCUUCUUUUAUUUUCUCUUUUGACCACUUUAGAGAGCUAGAUAGUACACUCAUCUGCCCUUGUAGAGGCCAACGUCUUUUCCCUAAAUUUGUCCUGUUUCUGACUUAGAAGUAAGGAAUCCAUUGGGGCACCCCUGAGGAGCGGGCAUUUGCAGGGUGCCUGGAGUGCACAAUUUCCCCACCAUUCUCUCUGCCUGGGUCUUUCCCCUGCAAGGUCCCAACCCUGUCCAACUUGGGUCCCAUAUCUGCUGGAGGAUGGAGGUGAUGUGCGCCUUCUAGUUGGGAUUGAGUCCUAAUUGCUCUAAGUCAGCUGUGGCCACGCUGUUGAGGCAGUGAGUCCAGUGUGGGCCUGUGGCUCGGCCCUGGCCUCGGAGCAGAUGAGAUGUCUGCUGGGGGCACCUGGGGAAGGGUUUUCUUUAAAAUGCAAAGAGGUUCAGGAGCAGCGAACCUCCCUCUUGCUCCUCGGGUCUGCAUGUGGGCGGGAGUGAGUGUGGAGCUGGCAGUGCCUGCUCCCUGUUGCCACUGUGGAAGGAAAUCCAAAGGAAUUUCAGAAAAGCUGACCUGGGGCUCUGACAUUUUUUAGCUUCUGAGAUAACCAAUCCUGGAACUACUCAAUCCCAACAGGUCUUACAAGAAACAUGGAAUUCCAGCAAUUUAAACCACUUUUUAUUGGGUAUUCUGCUGACUCCAACUCAGAAAACCCCACCAGCACAGGGCCUGGGCAAGGGAGAGCAUGCUCCAUAUGGUGGAAAGGGGGUGACCAGAGGGCAUGGUGUUUCAUUUGCUCUAAAGACAAUAAGGGGUCCCUUAUCCCACAGAGCAAGUGUGACCACCACAUAAAAGAGAGAAUUGUUAGUCAUUGCUGAAGACCAAAAGGAAUCCAUUUUUUGCUUUGUUUUCUUUAUUUCUAUUUACAGUCUUUUGACUGGACCAUGCAGCAGCACAAUCAAUCAAUAGACGAAGUAUGUGAAAGUUUAGCAUGCAUGUGGAGCUGGCUCCGCAUUGGAGAAGACGGCAGCAGGGAUCAGCGGAGCUGUUCUCUUUGCGCUUCUGUGGUUAGGUCUGGUGCUAGUGUUGUCCCGUAAAGCGCAGCCGCAGUAAGGGCUGACCUUCAGUUCUGGUCCCUGAUCUGGGUUCUUACUGAUCCAGUAAUAGCCGAGAAGAGCGUGUGGAAUCAAACUUGGAAUUAGGUCAUGAAGUUUCAUGAUGCUGACAGGCAUUUUACCUUUUGGUACUGUCAGGUUUCGCUGAAACAUGUUUGGAUCAACAGAUUGCAAAUUAGGAACUGGCAGCCGUUCUGACAAUCGCUGACAACGUUUUUAAAGAAUAUUGAAAAUGGAAUCAUUAAACACUCUGAAAUUAAUGUUCCCAUAGCAAUGUUAAUGCGGCCACCUUGUGCCAGUGCAAUUACUCAUUGAUUGCUAUUGUUUACAUCUAAAUUUAAAGUGCAUAUCUAGACCUAAUGACAUGGUUGCAGUUAGUAUUUUGAGGAAUACCUCCAUAUCAAAGUUUCUUUUCCUGGUGGAUUCAUAACACUUUAGACUCAGACUUUGGUUGUUUGAGAAGCAUAACCAAAAAUAAGAAGUAAAAGCACUAAUAAUCAAAAUGUCAAAGUUGAUCCCAUGUUCAAACCCCGUAGUUGAAGAAUCCUGAGUGAUGUGUCAGAAAAAGCAGGGAAUUAGAAAAGCCUUAAGGUGUGCACAUACGUGGCCAUGAUUUUGUAGCAAUUCUCUUGGCUCUUUGGAAAGCAAAAGCAGAGGACCCCAGAUCAAGGUCAAAUGACAGAGCCUUGUGUGGUUCUGAUUUUGUGUUCAAUGUCUAGGGGUGCUCACUGGCUCUACUGGGUCUUUGCUGGCUCUUCUGGUCACUAGAAACAGACAGCAUGGAAGGCAGUGAUGCAGAGACCCAGCUCCGCUCCUGGCUGGGGAGGAGCCUACACCCUUCCCCUGACCUGCUGCGUUACUGCCUCUCUGGUGUAGAGAGACUAUGGGCUGCAUUGUGGCAGGUGACAGCAGGUGCAACAGCCUCCCCCUCCACACACUGUGUAGCCCUCCGUGAUCUGUAACGGUUCAUUAUAUCAUUCGUGUGAACUAUGUGGUCUGUAUCAGGUUUUAAGAUUUUAUUUUAUUUUUUGGUCUUAUGUUCAAAUCACUUCUGUUCAGUUUUUAAAAAAUCAUUACAAUUUGAGGAAAGGGACUCUGUCACCUUGUCCCCCAGCACCAGCCUUGAACUUGUCCAAUCUGAUAUUUGGACAGGGCCAGUGAGCCACGUUAUCACACUUCUGGUUGUACACAAGCAGUUGGGUGACACAUUUUCCAUUCAUAAAAGAAAAUUGGUUUGGAUACACUCUAAUUGCACAUUUGCAAGUUAGAGCUCCAUGCAUGCUAUUUGUUGAAAGCCCCCUUUGGGUUAAUUACAAAGUGCCUAAAUGCUAUUUGAUGAUUUUGGAAGCAAAAUAUGCGUGGGACAGUGUUUCUGUGCCUUGAAACCCACUGAGUAGUAUCCCACCUUGUACAUUUCACUUUUGCUAUAGAAACAUCCUGUACCAUACCUGUCACUCAAACAGACCAGUUGUGAGAGGAAUUGGGAGAGAAUAUGGGGCCGGAAUCCCCUUUCCAAUGUUAAGUUUCUGAUCUUAAAUGUACUUUAAUACACCCCACACUUCUGUCACUAUCUCUUCCACAUAUCAUGUGUGACAUCUUCAUUUAUGAGAUGGCAAAGUGACUGGAACAUUGACAGAAGGAAACUGAAAUGGGCGAAUCUUCCUGCAUUUUAGCAAUCACUCGGUUUUGGAAAGGAAGACUGCCCCAGGAUGGUUCACAAAUCUCAUCCACUCUUGCCAGAGUGACCCAUUCUGAGUUGGUGACAACAUCCCUGGACACUUCCGUUGGUCCCUCCCCUUCACAGCUUUGUACAGCUGCGGCAUGCCCCCCCAAGUGGUUGUGCCUUUGUUUUGGUGUCUGUUCUGCAGCUAGGAAAACUCUCCAAGGGAUAAUGUGAGGAGCAACUUGGCUGGUAUCCAUAAACCUUGUGAAGAUGAACGAUGUCAUCACAGGCGAGCCCCUGAAUUAUGUUUAUGAAAUGUGCUCACAACACCCAAUGAACUACACUUUGGUACAUUAACCCUAUACGUCUUGGAUGGUGACUUUAAGAUGUGGGUGUACCCAGGGGGAAAUGUCUGCGUGUCUUCUAAGUUAGUUUAGCUCAUUGGUGACAUCAUAAGAUCACCAUCACCUAGGCAAUGGAGCGUGUUGCUAUGGGAACAGCAAAGCUGUAUGAUAACACAGCUUCAAAAUGUUGACAGUUGGAAAUGCUCCCUUUUUUCUGUACUGCAAGCCAAAGGAGAUGUAUAUGUAGGGGGUGGGUGUUUUGAUUAAAAUAUUAGUAUUUAAAGUUUGUUAAUAUAAACUGUUUGGAGACGAAUGAUUUGUGACACUUAAGAUAUUUAGAAUACGGAAAUUUUUGGAAAAACAUGACCCUUUAGCUGCUUUAAAGAAACCUUUAUGUCCUGGAACUUGUGCAGGCCUCAUGAAGUCAGAGUUGUCAUGAGAAAGAUACAAAAUCUCUUUGCAAAACUGCAGGAAGCAUAGAUAUGCUGGAUGGCAGGGCUCCCACCUGUGUGACCUUGACUUCAAGGCACCGAUGACUGGUUUAUGCACGUCCUUGCUGUGGUUCUUUUGGCCGUCACCGCCCGUCUCCUGAGAACUUCUGGUGCCAC